Molecule: ribosomal RNA, 492 nt
Filed under: uncultured bacterium
Lineage: Bacteria
Description: partial 16S ribosomal RNA
Rfam family: Bacterial small subunit ribosomal RNA
Source: RNAcentral
AGUGAACGCUGGCGGUAGGCCUAACACAUGCAAGUCGAACGGCAGCACAGUAAGAGCUUGCUCUUACGGGUGGCGAGUGGCGGACGGGUGAGGAAUACAUCGGAAUCUACUUUUUCGUGGGGGAUAACGUAGGGAAACUUACGCUAAUACCGCAUACGACCUACGGUUGAAAGCAGGGGAUCUUCGGACCUUGCGCGAUUGAAUGAGCCGAUGUCGGAUUAGCUAGUUGGCGGGGUAAAGGCCCCCCAAGGCGACGAUCCGUAGCUGGUCUGAGAGGAUGAUCAGCCACACUGGAACUGAGACACGGCCCAGACUCCUACGGGAGGCAGCAGUGGGGAAUAUUGGACAAUGGGCGCAAGCCUGAUCCAGCCAUACCGCGUGGGUGAAGAAGGCCUUCGGGUUGUAAAGCCCUUUUGUUGGGAAAGAAAAGCAGCAGGUUAAUACCCCGCUGUUCUGACGGUACCCAAAGAAUAAGCACCGGCUAACUUCGUG